UUCCGGUUGAUCCUGCCGGAGGUCACUGCUAUCGGGGUUUGAUUAAGCCAUGCGAGUCGAGAGGGUUCAGACCCUCGGCGGACUGCUCAGUAACACGUGGAUAAUCUGCCCUAUGGUGGAGGAUAACCCCGGGAAACUGGGGAUAAUACUCCAUAAGUCAGGAGUACUGGAAUGUCUCCUAACUGAAAGUUGCGGCGCCAUAGGAUGAAUCUGCGGCCGAUUAGGUAGUUGUUGGGGUAACGGCCCAACAAGCCCGUAAUCGGUACGGGUUGUGGGAGCAAGAGCCCGGAGAUGGAAUCUGAGACACGAUUCCAGGCCCUACGGGGCGCAGCAGGCGCGAAAACUUUACAAUGCAGGAAACUGUGAUAAGGGAAACCCCGAGUGCCCGUACACGCGGGCUGUCCCGGUGUUUAAAACACAUCGGAAGAAAGGGCCGGGCAAGACCGGUGCCAGCCGCCGCGGUAAUACCGGCGGCUCGAGUGGUGACCACUUUUAUUGGGCUUAAAGCGUUCGUAGCUUGAUUUUUAAGUCUCUUGGGAAAUCUCACGGCUUAACUGUGAGGCGUCUAAGAGAUACUGGGAAUCUAGGGACCGGGAGAGGUAAGAGGUACUUCAGGGGUAGAAGUGAAAUUCUGUAAUCCUUGAGGGACCACCGAUGGCGAAGGCAUCUUACCAGAACGGCUUCGACAGUGAGGAACGAAAGCUGGGGGAGCGAACGGGAUUAGAUACCCCGGUAGUCCCACCCGUAAACUAUGCGCGUUAGGUGUGCCUGUAACUACGAGUUACCGGGGUGCCGAAGUGAAAACGUGAAACGUGCCGCCUGGGAAGUACGGUCGCAAGGCUGAAACUUAAAGGAAUUGGGCGGGGGAGCACCACCACGGGUGGAGCCUGCGGUUUAAUUGGAUUCAACGCCGGG
This 915-nucleotide ribosomal RNA is filed under the name uncultured archaeon. Its description in RNAcentral is "bacterial SSU rRNA". It matches the Rfam family "Archaeal small subunit ribosomal RNA", at positions 1 to 922 of the family's 1478-position model. The record is from RNAcentral.